GAUGAAGAACGUAGCGAAAUGCGAUAAGCAAUGUGAAUUGCAGAAUUCAGUGAAUCAUCGAAUCUUUGAACGCACAUUGCGCCCAUUAGUAUUCUAGUGGGCAUGCCUGUUCGAGCGUCAUUUCAACCCUCAAGCCUUAGUUGCUUGGUGUUGGGAGCUUAUCUUGCCGAAAGGCGGGACAACUCCUUAAAUUUAUCGGCGGAGUCGCGGUGACCCCAAGCGUAGUAAAUUAUUUUUUCCUCGCUUUAGGUGUUAACGCUGGCUUUUCUAGCCGUUAAACCCCCCCUAAUAUUUUAAUGGUUGACCUCGGAUCAGGUAGGACUACCCGCUGAACUUAAGCAUAUCAAUAAGCGGAGGA
RNAcentral lists this unclassified non-coding RNA (358 nucleotides) under soil metagenome. RNAcentral's name for it is "partial contains 5.8S ribosomal RNA, internal transcribed spacer 2, and large subunit ribosomal RNA". The stretch from base 1 to 120 matches the Rfam family "5.8S ribosomal RNA", at positions 35 to 154 of the family's 154-position model. The record is from RNAcentral.